UACGUAGGGCGCGAGCGUUAAUCGGAAUCACUGGGCGUAAAGCGUGCGUAGGCGGUUCGUUGUGUCUGUGGUGAAAGCCCCGGGCUUAACCUGGGAAUGGCCAUGGAAACUGGCGAGCUGGAGUCUGGCAGAGGGGGGUGGAAUUCCGCGUGUAGCAGUGAAAUGCGUAGAGAUGCGUAGGAACACCGAUGGCGAAGGCAGCCCCCUGGGCUAAGACUGACGCUGAGGCACGAAAGCGUGGGGAGCAAACAGG
RNAcentral lists this ribosomal RNA (253 nucleotides) under uncultured bacterium. RNAcentral describes it as "partial 16S ribosomal RNA". It matches the Rfam family "Bacterial small subunit ribosomal RNA", at positions 524 to 776 of the family's 1533-position model. The record is from RNAcentral.